GGUGAAUUUUCCGCAAUGGGCGAAAGCCUGACGGAGCAAGACCGCNGUGGGGGAAGAAGGCUCUUGGGUUGUAAACCCCUUUUCUCUGGGAAGAAAGUUGUGAAAGCAGCCUGACGGUACCAGAGGAAUCAGCAUCGGCUAACUCCGUGCCAGCAGCCGCGGUAAGACGGAGGAUGCAAGCGUUAUCCGGAAUGAUUGGGCGUAAAGCGUCCGCAGGUGGCAGUUCAAGUCUGCUGUCAAAGACCGGGGCUCAACCUCGGAAAGGCAGUGGAAACUGAACAGCUAGAGUAUGGUAGGGGCAAAGGGAAUUCCUGGUGUAGCGGUGAAAUGCGUAGAGAUCAGGAAGAACAUCGGUGGCGAAGGCGCUUUGCUGGACCAUAACUGACACUCAGGGACGAAAGCUAGGGGAGCGAAUGGGAUUAGAUACCCCAGUAGUCCUAGCCGUAAACGAUGGAUACUAGGUGUUGUCUGUAUCGACCCGGACAGUGCCGUAGCUAACG
RNAcentral lists this ribosomal RNA (500 nucleotides) under uncultured cyanobacterium. RNAcentral describes it as "bacterial SSU rRNA". It matches the Rfam family "Bacterial small subunit ribosomal RNA", at positions 356 to 857 of the family's 1533-position model. Lineage: Bacteria; Bacillati; Cyanobacteriota. The record is from RNAcentral.